GAUGAACGCUGGCGGCGUGCUUAACACAUGCAAGUCGAACGGAAAGGCUCCUGCUUGCAGGGGUACUCGAGUGGCGAACGGGUGAGUAACACGUGGGUGAUCUGCCCUGCACUUCGGGAUAAGCCUGGGAAACUGGGUCUAAUACCGGAUAGGACGAUGGUUUGGAUGCCAUUGUGGAAAGUUUUUCGGUGUGGGAUGAGCUCGCGGCCUAUCAGCUUGUUGGUGGGGUAAUGGCCUACCAAGGCGUCGACGGGUAGCCGGCCUGAGAGGGUGUACGGCCACAUUGGGACUGAGAUACGGCCCAGACUCCUACGGGAGGCAGCAGUGGGGAAUAUUGCACAAUGGGGGAAAGCCUGAUGCAGCGACGCCGCGUGGGGGAUGACGGCCUUCGGGUUGUAAACUCCUUUCGCUAGGGACGAAGCGCAAGUGACGGUACCUGGAGAAGAAGCACCGGCUAACUACGUG
This 465-nucleotide ribosomal RNA is filed under the name uncultured bacterium. Its description in RNAcentral is "partial 16S ribosomal RNA". It matches the Rfam family "Bacterial small subunit ribosomal RNA", at positions 28 to 507 of the family's 1533-position model. The record is from RNAcentral.